GUAGGUGGCAAGCGUUGUCCGGAAUUAUUGGGCGUAAAGCGCGCGCAGGCGGUUCUUUAAGUCUGAUGUGAAAGCCCACGGCUCAACCGUGGAGGGUCAUUGGAAACUGGAGAACUUGAGUACAGAAGAGGAAAGCGGAAUUCCACGUGUAGCGGUGAAAUGCGUAGAGAUGUGGAGGAACACCAGUGGCGAAGGCGGCUUUCUGGUCUGUAACUGACGCUGAGGCGCGAAAGCGUGGGGAGCAAACAGGGAUUAGAUACCCUGGUAGUCCACGCCGUAAACGAUGAGUGCUAAGUGUUAGGAGGUUUCCGCCCCCCUUAGUGCUGCAGCUAACGCAUUAAGCACUCCGCCCUGGGAGUACGGCCGCAAGGCUG
RNAcentral lists this ribosomal RNA (374 nucleotides) under uncultured organism. RNAcentral describes it as "partial 16S ribosomal RNA". It matches the Rfam family "Bacterial small subunit ribosomal RNA", at positions 527 to 896 of the family's 1533-position model. The record is from RNAcentral.